GGAAGGAUCAUUAACACUGGGUCGGUUCUACCGGCAUACCCCAAAAACAACUUGAGAACCUGGGUGCGUACUGGCUGUGUUGUAGGGUGACGCCCGCUCGGGGGCUAACCCAACUCUCUUCGCAAACUAUUGCAUAUGGAUCACUAAAGUGGAUACGUUAACUAAAUACAACUCUUAGCAGUGGAUAUCUUGGUUCCCACAACGAUGAAGAACGCAGCGAAAUGCGAUACGUAAUGCGAAUUGCAGAAUUCAGUGAAUCAUCAAAUCUUUGAACGCAAGUUGCGCUUUCGAGAUAUCCUUGAAAGCAUGCCUCUUUGAGUGUCGGUUUCUAUUCUCCCGGAUGCACUCGGUGUGCGUCCGGGGACUCUGAGCUCUGGUCGGUCCAUGGCUUGAAAAAUCACCAAACCCGUGCGAGCACUUGGCUUCUGACUCUGGUCUCCAACCAUGCGCCCCGCCCGGUACCAUAGAACCAUUUCUGACUCUAGAUCUCAAAUGAGGUAAGACUACCCGCUGAAUUUAAGCAUAUAAUUAAGCGGAGGAAAAGAAACUAACUAGGAUUCCCUCAGUAACGGCGAGUGAAGCGGGAAGAGCUCAAACCGAAAAUCUCUUGCUUCUGGCAGGCGAAUUGUGGUCUAUGGAGGUGUGUCUCAGCGUGCGGUCCCGGCCUAAGUCCAUUGGAACAUGGCAUCAGAGAGGGUGAGAAUCCCGUCUUUGGCUGGGUGUCCGCCGCGUUCGAGCCAUCCUCUAAGAGUCGGGUUGCUUGGGAGUGCAGCCCUAAGUGGGAGGUAAAUUUCUUCCAAAGCUAAAUAUUUGUGGGAGACCGAUAGCGAACAAGUACCGUGAGGGAAAGAUGAAAAGAACUUUGAAAAGAGAGUUAAAUAGUACUUGAAACUGCUGAGAACGAAGGGAUGGCGACUAGUAUUGGCCGGGAGGAUUUUUCCUUGGUGUCGAACGAGGCUGGCGGGUUCGGAUUGCUUCGGCUUCCUGCCCGUCGGUCGAUACGCGUCGCCUUGGGUCCUGUCCUCUUGGCUUAGGUCAGAAUGGGUUCGGUUCGAUUGAAAACGGCGUCAGCAAGGUGGCUCGGGGUGCAAACUCUGAGAUCUUAUAGGCCGGCGCUGCUAGAUCGUCCCGGACCGAGGUGCCGAAACAUGCGCUCUAAGCUGUGGGGGCCGGUCGCUGCUUGGGUGGCUUCGUUUGGGAGCAAUGCUCCGUCUCGGGGUCCACUCGGCACUCGGUCGGUUCCUCAUCUGCAUGUUGGGGAUUCUGACGAAAUGGUCGUCAUUCACCCGUCUUGAAACACGGACCAAGGAGUCUUACAUAUGUGCGAGUAAUCUAGUGGAAAACUGGCUUGCGGAUUGAAGGAGAAUGAAUGUGAUCCUGGCCUCGUGCCGGGAGCAACAUCGGGCGGCUAAUAUAACUGUACGACCAUGAGCAUAUCUGUAGGGACCCGAAAGAUGGUGAACUAUGCUUGAGCAGGAUGAAGCCAGGGGAAACUCUGGUGGAGGUCCGAAGCGAUACUGACGUGCAAAUCGUUCGUCUGACUUGAGUAUAGGGGCGAAAGACUAAUCGAACUAUCUAGUAGCUGGUUCCCUC
This 1593-nucleotide unclassified non-coding RNA is filed under the name uncultured fungus. RNAcentral describes it as "sequence contains 18S rRNA gene, ITS1, 5.8S rRNA gene, ITS2, 28S rRNA gene". The stretch from base 484 to 1593 matches the Rfam family "Eukaryotic large subunit ribosomal RNA", at positions 1 to 961 of the family's 3401-position model. The record is from RNAcentral. Lineage: Eukaryota; Fungi.